This 253-nucleotide ribosomal RNA is filed under the name uncultured bacterium. RNAcentral's name for it is "partial 16S ribosomal RNA". It matches the Rfam family "Bacterial small subunit ribosomal RNA", at positions 524 to 776 of the family's 1533-position model. The record is from RNAcentral.
UACGGAGGGCGCAAGCGUUGUUCGGAGUUGCUGGGCGUAAAGCGCGUGUAGGCGGCCAGGUAAGUCGGAUGUGACAGCCCGGGGCCCAACCCCGGAACUGCACCCGAUACUGCCCGGCUGGAGUCCCGGAGAGGAUGGCGGAAUUUCCGGUGUAGAGGUGAAAUUCGUAGAUAUCGGAAGGAACACCAGGGGCGAAGGCGGACAUCUGGACGGUGACUGACGCUGAGACGCGAAAGCGUGGGGAGCAAACAGG